Mytilus californianus (California mussel) is the source of this 561-nucleotide long non-coding RNA. RefSeq lists it as uncharacterized. NCBI's taxonomy places the organism in Eukaryota, Metazoa, Mollusca, Bivalvia, Mytilida, Mytilidae. The transcript has 3 exons. The record is from RefSeq and is a predicted model, not a curated record.
ACGAAAACAGAACUUGGCUCACGGAAGCAGUGUGCAUCUAGGAUUCAUCAUAUAAAAAUGGCGAAAUUAGAAAACAAGAUUUCUCUGAACGAAGAAAUGAAGGCUAGUAUCUUGGCUCUAGUUCAAAAGAGAGGACCUACGAAAACAUGUUGUCCAAGUGAGGUUGCUAGAAAACUGUCACCAAAUAAUUGGAGAGGUUUAAUGGAAUUUGUUCGAGAUGCUGCUAGAGAACUUCAACAGAAUGAAUUAAUUGAUAUUUGCCAAAAGGGUAUCCCAGUUCCUUCAAAUACUUGGACCGGACCAAUACGACUGAGGCUUAGAACAAAAGCUGGAAUCAUUUUACCAAAUUUAAAGCCAGGCAUAAGUGAGCUUAGUGGACGUGGUCGAGAUGGAGAUGGUCAGCCUUCACAAAAGGACAUUCAAUCCAGUCAAGCGACAUGUUCUGUAGAAUAUAGGGUUGAUAAAGAAUGUCAGACCAGAAAUUCUCCACAUGCAAUAAAUAGAAAACGAAAAUAUAACAUACGGUCAAAAAUAUCUGACAAAUAAAAAAUAAUAUAUUUG